UUARAGUYUGMUCCUGGCUCAKAWCRWRYGCUGGCGGCGUGCUUAACACAUGCAAGUCRAACGUGAUUGAGAGCUUGCUCUCAUGAAAGUGGCGCACGGGUGAGUAACACGUGGAUAAUCUGCCUGGCGAUUCGGGAUAACACUUCGAAAGGGGUGCUAAUACCGGAUAAGCCCACGGUCUCUUCGGAGAGUGCGGGAAAAGGGGGCCUCUGUAUAUGCUCCUGUCGCUAGAUGAGUCCGCGGCCCAUUAGCUAGUUGGUAGGGUAAUGGCCUACCAAGGCUACGAUGGGUAGCUGGUCUGAGAGGAUGAUCASCCMCACUGGAACUGAGACACGGUCCARACUCCUACGGGAGGCAGCAGUGGGGAAUUUUGCGCAAUGGGCGAAAGCCUGACGCASCA
Molecule: ribosomal RNA, 400 nt
Filed under: uncultured Geobacteraceae bacterium
Lineage: Bacteria; Pseudomonadati; Thermodesulfobacteriota; Desulfuromonadia; Geobacterales; Geobacteraceae
Description: partial 16S ribosomal RNA
Rfam family: Bacterial small subunit ribosomal RNA
Source: RNAcentral